This 32-nucleotide non-coding RNA is filed under the name unclassified sequences. The record is from RNAcentral.
CUAUGACAUAUUGGUUGUCAUGGCGGAAGGAG